This 892-nucleotide ribosomal RNA is filed under the name Rossellomorea aquimaris. RNAcentral describes it as "bacterial SSU rRNA". It matches the Rfam family "Bacterial small subunit ribosomal RNA", at positions 61 to 934 of the family's 1533-position model. The record is from RNAcentral. Lineage: Bacteria; Bacillati; Bacillota; Bacilli; Caryophanales; Bacillaceae.
GUCGAGCGGACUGAUGGGAGCUUGCUCCCAUCAGUCAGCGGCGGACGGGUGAGUAACACGUGGGUAACCUGCCUGUAAGACUGGGAUAACUCCGGGAAACCGGGGCUAAUACCGGAUAACUCAUUUCCUCGCAUGAGGAAAUGUUGAAAGAUGGCUUCUUGCUAUCACUUACAGAUGGACCCGCGGCGCAUUAGCUAGUUGGUGAGGUAACGGCUCACCAAGGCGACGAUGCGUAGCCGACCUGAGAGGGUGAUCGGCCACACUGGGACUGAAACACGGCCCAAACUCCUACGGGAGGCAGCAGUAGGGAAUCUUCCGCAAUGGACGAAAGUCUGACGGAGCAACGCCGCGUGAGUGAUGAAGGUUUUCGGAUCGUAAAACUCUGUUGUUAGGGAAAAACAAGUACCGUUCGAAUAGGGCGGUACCUUGACGGUACCUAACCAGAAAGCCACGGCUAACUACGUGCCAGCAGCCGCGGUAAUACGUAGGUGGCAAGCGUUGUCCGGAAUUAUUGGGCGUAAAGCGCGCGCAGGUGGUUUCUUAAGUCUGAUGUGAAAGCCCACGGCUCAACCGUGGAGGGUCAUUGGAAACUGGGGAACUUGAGUGCAGAAGAGGAAAGUGGAAUUCCAAGUGUAGCGGUGAAAUGCGUAGAUAUUUGGAGGAACACCAGUGGCGAAGGCGACUUUCUGGUCUGUAACUGACACUGAGGCGCGAAAGCGUGGGGAGCAAACAGGAUUAGAUACCCUGGUAGUCCACGCCGUAAACGAUGAGUGCUAAGUGUUAGAGGGUUUCCGCCCUUUAGUGCUGCAGCUAACGCAUUAAGCACUCCGCCUGGGGAGUACGGUCGCAAGACUGAACUCAAAGGAAUUGACGGGGGCCCGCACAAGCGGUG